Molecule: long non-coding RNA, 2008 nt
Filed under: Zonotrichia albicollis (white-throated sparrow)
Lineage: Eukaryota; Metazoa; Chordata; Aves; Passeriformes; Passerellidae
Description: lncRNA (ENSZALG00000002213.1)
Source: RNAcentral
CUCCAAAUGAGCAACCUCGUAACCUCAUUGCGCCAUUUAAUUAAAAACAAAAAAAGAGAAAAAAGGAAAAAAAACGGAGAAAAAAAAAGAAUUCCUCGUCACGUGCACGGUCUGAAACUGGACAGCGAUGGGUUAUUAUUUUUUUUUCCCCUCCUCCUCCUCCUCCCCACCUGUUUUGUUGUGUCCCUGGUUCUGCCCCAGCCCCUCUGUGCCCCCCUCAGCCAUUCCCAGGAUGGAUAUGGAAUCUCAUGACCAACAGCCACACACGGAGACCUGGCCCUGUCCCUGCUGCUGCCACCGAGCUGAGCCCACCUCCAGCAAACUCCUCCUGCCUCCUCCUCCUCUUCUCACCAGGAAGCGUUUGUUUGCUCCUAAGGAAAAAAAAAAAAAUGGAAAAAACUUGAAAUUCCUCGUGUCCAGCUCAAUGUUGAAGUCCUGGCAGUCCUGGAUCUGAAGCUCCUCAGAGGGGUUUUGUUGCCUUCCACGAGGUUUGGAUCAGCUCCAGCAUGGCCAAUUCCAGAAUUUUCCAUGUUUCCUCCACUGAGUUUGCCUCAUUCCGCGUUUUCCAAAGUGCUGACUCAAGGUCACACUGGGCAUCUCUUUGCCUUGUCUUAAAGUUUACUGUUUCCACCUAAACCCCCGUGAUGUUGAAUCUCUUCUUGGAGUUGAUUGCAGCGGGAUUUCCCCAGGACCCCCCUGCCCCGUGGAGCCUGGAAAGUUCAGCAGAGCUGCAGUGCAAGUGCUUAAAGUGAGAAGUUCCAGUGCAAAAAUCCAAUGUGGUUUUGGUUGGAUGUGGAGGAGAAGAUUGUGUGGCCACCAGCUCUUCACCUUCUUCACAGCAGCAGGAACUUCACCAGAGGAGUUUUUCUCUUGUUAAUCUUCUCAUACCAAGACAAAUUCAGGAAUAAAAGAAUAUUCCAGCUUCUUGGUUUCAGUCCAGGACCCUCUGGAAUUCACUGUGGGAAACUCCACCAGUGGCUGCCACUGGAUCCGAGUAACUCUGGUCCUCAGGAGCUUCUCCAAACAAGCCCUGGUUGGUGCUGCAGCUCCAGGAGAUGUUGGACCUUCAGGAGGGGACAUUUGGAGCUCUGCAGCCCUGCUCUGGAGGAAGAGGCGCAGCCCCUCGUGCUGCUCUGCGACCAGUCACUCCCUGCUUUUCAUCUUGCAUUCCCUUGCCUUGCUUCAGUUGGACUCCAUCAUCUCAAGGUGUUUUGCAGCCUGAAGGAUUUUGUGAUCUAACAGGUGGAGCACUGGCUGUCCCUAAAGGAGCCUAUUACAGCGACCUUAGACGGUCACUGUGGUGAGAGAAGGACGAGAAUCUUGUUUCUUGAUCAGAAGGCUGAUUUAUUGAUAUAAGAUAUAUAAUACAUUAUAACUAUACUCAAAGGAAGAAAAAGAGAGGUUGCAGAGAGCAGCUAUGCUAAGAAUAGAAUAGAAAGAAUGAAUAACAAAGUUCUUUGCCCAGGGAAUCUGUCCCUGAGCUGCUCCUGUGAUUGGCCUUUAAUGGUACACAAGGAAGAUGAGCCAAUCACAGGGACACUGCUACAUUUAACAGCAGCUGAUAACAAUUGUUUACAUUCUUCUUCUGGGGCCCUUUGCUUCCCAGAAGAAGAAGAAAUCCCAAAGAAAGGAUUUCUAUGAAGAAAUGUCUGCGACAGGAGCCCAUCCCACAGGAUUUGUAGGAGUGGGAUGGAGAACAGAGACCAGAGGCUUUCACCAAACACAGCUGGCUUGGACCUGAGGCUGCACCAGCACCAACCAGCACAUCCCAGUUCCUCCUGGGAGCUGGGAAAGGGGACAGGAUCACAACCCUGGCCUGUCCCCCUCCCUGUGCCCCUCAGGGUCACAUUGGGACCACAACUCCUGCUCUCCACAAGAUGUCACAGCUCUGGCUGGGAUGCUCCUGCUGCUGUCGCCUCGCCAAGAGAUGUUCUUCCCCCAUCUCCUCAAACCCUGUGUUUACAACAGACUGGUAAAAAUAAAAAUGGCCAGAAAAGGAGCGUUGGCA